Molecule: ribosomal RNA, 366 nt
Filed under: uncultured bacterium
Lineage: Bacteria
Description: partial 16S ribosomal RNA
Rfam family: Bacterial small subunit ribosomal RNA
Source: RNAcentral
CCUACGGGUGGCAGCAGUGGGGAAUAUUGCGCAAUGGGCGAAAGCCUGACGCAGCGACGCCGCGUGAGGGAUGAAGGUCCUCGGAUCGUAAACCUCUGUCAGCAGGGAAGAACGGUCACUGUGCUAAUCAGCAGUGAAUUGACGGUACCAGCAAAGGACGCACCGGCUAACACCGUGCCAGCAGCCGCGGUAAUACGGAGGGUGCGAGCGUUGAUCGGAAUUACUGGGCGUAAAGGGCGGGUAGGCGGUAUGUCAAAUCAAGGGUGAAAUCCCCGCGCUCAACGUGGGAACUGCCUUUGAAACCGGCAGACUUGAGUGUGUGAGAGGAUAGUGGAAUUCCAGGUGUAGGAGUGAAAUCCGUAGAUA